CUGGCGGCGUGCCUAACACAUGCAAGUCGAACGAGAAAGUGGAGCAAUCCAUGAGUAAAGUGGCGACCGGGUGAGUAACACGUGACUAACCUGCCUUCGAGUGGGGGAUAACCUCGGGAAACCGGGGCUAAUACCGCAUAAUGCCGAGAGGUUAAAGGAGCAAUUCGCUUGAAGAGGGGGUCGCGGCUGAUUAGCUAGUUGGCGGGGUAACGGCCCACCAAGGCGAUGAUCGGUAGCCGGCCUGAGAGGACGCACGGCCACACUGGAACUGAAACACGGUCCAGACUCCUACGGGAGGCAGCAGUGGGGAAUUUUGCGCAAUGGGGGAAACCCUGACGCAGCAACGCCGCGUGGAGGAUGAAGUCCUUUGGGAUGUAAACUCCUUUCGACCGGGACGAUAAUGACGGUACCGGUGGAAGAAGCCCCGGCUAACUUCGUGCCAGCAGCCGCGGUAAUACGAGGGGGGCAAGCGUUGUUCGGAAUUAUUGGGCGUAAAGGGCGCGUANGCGGUGCGGUAAGUCACCUGUGAAACCUCUGGGCUUAACUCAGAGCCUGCAGGCGAAACUGCCGUGCUG
This 575-nucleotide ribosomal RNA is filed under the name uncultured bacterium. Its description in RNAcentral is "bacterial SSU rRNA". It matches the Rfam family "Bacterial small subunit ribosomal RNA", at positions 36 to 643 of the family's 1533-position model. The record is from RNAcentral.